GCCCCCGUAGCUCAGGGGAUAGAGUGCUGGCCUCCGGAGCCAGAGACGGGAGUUCGAAUCUCCCCGGGGGUA
This 72-nucleotide transfer RNA is filed under the name Chloroflexota bacterium. Its description in RNAcentral is "Chloroflexi bacterium tRNA-Arg". It matches the Rfam family "tRNA". From Rfam's summary of the family: Transfer RNA (tRNA) molecules are approximately 80 nucleotides in length. The record is from RNAcentral. Lineage: Bacteria; Bacillati; Chloroflexota.